RNAcentral lists this ribosomal RNA (1337 nucleotides) under Lactiplantibacillus plantarum. Its description in RNAcentral is "bacterial SSU rRNA". It matches the Rfam family "Bacterial small subunit ribosomal RNA", at positions 56 to 1360 of the family's 1533-position model. The record is from RNAcentral. Lineage: Bacteria; Bacillati; Bacillota; Bacilli; Lactobacillales; Lactobacillaceae.
UGCAAGUCGAACGAACUCUGGUAUUGAUUGGUGCUUGCAUCAUGAUUUACAUUUGAGUGAGUGGCGAACUGGUGAGUAACACGUGGGAAACCUGCCCAGAAGCGGGGGAUAACACCUGGAAACAGAUGCUAAUACCGCAUAACAACUUGGACCGCAUGGUCCGAGUUUGAAAGAUGGCUUCGGCUAUCACUUUUGGAUGGUCCCGCGGCGUAUUAGCUAGAUGGUGAGGUAACGGCUCACCAUGGCAAUGAUACGUAGCCGACCUGAGAGGGUAAUCGGCCACAUUGGGACUGAGACACGGCCCAAACUCCUACGGGAGGCAGCAGUAGGGAAUCUUCCACAAUGGACGAAAGUCUGAUGGAGCAACGCCGCGUGAGUGAAGAAGGGUUUCGGCUCGUAAAACUCUGUUGUUAAAGAAGAACAUAUCUGAGAGUAACUGUUCAGGUAUUGACGGUAUUUAACCAGAAAGCCACGGCUAACUACGUGCCAGCAGCCGCGGUAAUACGUAGGUGGCAAGCGUUGUCCGGAUUUAUUGGGCGUAAAGCGAGCGCAGGCGGUUUUUUAAGUCUGAUGUGAAAGCCUUCGGCUCAACCGAAGAAGUGCAUCGGAAACUGGGAAACUUGAGUGCAGAAGAGGACAGUGGAACUCCAUGUGUAGCGGUGAAAUGCGUAGAUAUAUGGAAGAACACCAGUGGCGAAGGCGGCUGUCUGGUCUGUAACUGACGCUGAGGCUCGAAAGUAUGGGUAGCAAACAGGAUUAGAUACCCUGGUAGUCCAUACCGUAAACGAUGAAUGCUAAGUGUUGGAGGGUUUCCGCCCUUCAGUGCUGCAGCUAACGCAUUAAGCAUUCCGCCUGGGGAGUACGGCCGCAAGGCUGAAACUCAAAGGAAUUGACGGGGGCCCGCACAAGCGGUGGAGCAUGUGGUUUAAUUCGAAGCUACGCGAAGAACCUUACCAGGUCUUGACAUACUAUGCAAAUCUAAGAGAUUAGACGUUCCCUUCGGGGACAUGGAUACAGGUGGUGCAUGGUUGUCGUCAGCUCGUGUCGUGAGAUGUUGGGUUAAGUCCCGCAACGAGCGCAACCCUUAUUAUCAGUUGCCAGCAUUAAGUUGGGCACUCUGGUGAGACUGCCGGUGACAAACCGGAGGAAGGUGGGGAUGACGUCAAAUCAUCAUGCCCCUUAUGACCUGGGCUACACACGUGCUACAAUGGAUGGUACAACGAGUUGCGAACUCGCGAGAGUAAGCUAAUCUCUUAAAGCCAUUCUCAGUUCGGAUUGUAGGCUGCAACUCGCCUACAUGAAGUCGGAAUCGCUAGUAAUCGCGGAUCAGCAGCCGU